This 3784-nucleotide long non-coding RNA is filed under the name Podarcis lilfordi (Lilford's wall lizard). The record is from RNAcentral. Lineage: Eukaryota; Metazoa; Chordata; Lepidosauria; Squamata; Lacertidae.
CCUGUAUUGCCAGCGAGCUUAUUUCAUCUGGGUGGAAAGUUAGUGUGCAGUUGGACACAAAAUGUGCAGUUUGCGGGGGGUGGGUGCUGUUGGAAAAAUGAAACAUGCUAGAUGUUUGUUUUAAAAGAACUUAAAUUGCCCAAACCACUUUUUUUAAACGGCCAGAACCCCCUCUACUUCUCUCUUCUCCUCUACUUCAAUCUCGUAAAUACAUUUAAAGUUAGCACCUUAAGGCUAUAUUUCACGCUAUGUUCCUUCUUUUGCAGCCAAUGGUGGCAUAUUAUUAUGGAAGUAAAGGUAGAAGUUUUCUGUUUCCACGGAUAGUCGGGCCUUGCUUUCACUUUGGAGCACAGCACUUGAAUUAUGAGCCUCUAAAUGCCACCACUUCUGGGUUUGGCAGUGAAUACGCAGCCAAGGAUCAUAGCAGUGUUCUUGUAAUUUUGCAACCCUACAAAGAAUUUGUCCUUGUCUUGCAAAACCAUGGAGUGCACCACUCUCUCAGCACACUCAGUGACUAGUAUUUCACCAAUGGAAACAUAUUUAUUUAUGUUUUGAUUUCUUGGAGGUGUGCUAAGCUCACAAUUUUUAUUUCUUUUCCACACAAACAAACACAAACACAGAGGGCUUCUGCUGGGUAUGAGAGGCAGAGGAGAUUCAGUUAAUAAGCCAGACCAGAGAACUACUAUCAGUUUAUAAUUGCUUCUUUGGCUUUUGCUCACUCAACUCCUCCUUUCCGGCCUGUCAGAUAGUCCUGACCAAUCAUAGGCCUGCACUGAAUCUGUAACAGACUGUAUAAGAACCUUCUGAAAAGGCUUUGCUGGUUGGCAAUUCGAUUCUGCAGACAGUACAAAAUACUCUGGCAGAGGGAACUGAGCAGGCCAUCCUGCCAGUUGCAGAGCACACGGUAAACAGCUACCAAACUGACUCUGGGUGAAGAAGCAAACUAGGCAGUUUAUUGCUGCUUUGUUUUGGAACAUAUCUCUAAAGCAAGGCCAAAAAUCAGUAGACAAUAUUUCAUCUAAAGGGUUUUUGGUUUGGGGGGGGGGGUCAGACAAUCAGUUGAUCAGCAUAAAAGGAGAAGGGCAGGCAAUAAGGAACCUGUAGGCCCUGCAGAAAGAUCUGGGUCCUGUCCUCUAAUAUUUUUCAAUCUGAGAGAAUUUAACAGUGAAUCAUCACUUCAAUAACUUAGAAAAAAAUCAGGGCUGGAGGGCAGGGGAAAACUGCCACUGAUGGAGAUGGGUUUUGGUGGUGUUGUUUUUGGCGUUUCUUGCUAGCUAGGAACAAGCACAAGCCAAGGUUUCUGUCUGGUGCUAUACUGUAUUUUUAGUCAGGAACUAGGGAAUGGGAGAACAGCUUUAUUUAUUUAACCCUAAGCCCACAAAUACCCAAACAGGAAUACAGUGGUACCUCUAGUUGCGAACACAAUCCGUUCCGGGGUGCCAUUCGCACCCCAAAAAGUCUGCAUCACUUCUCUUUUUACUAGUAAUAAUUGGUUGAGUUUUUGUUACUUCAAUUUAUAUACCACCGUUUAUCAAAAGAUCUCAGGGCAGUGUACAACAUUAAAAAUGCAUUCCAGAACAUCAAUAAUAAAAGCAUAGUAAAAAGAAUACUGACAGAAAGACAAAUAAUAAAACAGUCCCUCACACUUUCAUGGGCUGUAGCCAUAGGCCUAGGUAAAGAGGAUGUUUUUGCCUGGCGCUUAAAGACUUUUAAUGAUGGUGCAAGGCAAACCUUUCUGAGGAGAGCAUUCCAUAGUCUGGGAAUAUUGUGAGAGGGAUCCAAGGACAUACCAGAAAUUUAGGUUUCUGGUAUGCAAUAAAUGAUUAAUGGGAAAAACACUGCACAAACAAAUCGGAAUGAAUGCUCAUUUCCAUAUAACCUCCCUGCAAGCAAAUCAGAAUCAACGUUCAAAAAGCAAGUCAUCUGGAGAGAUUUUGAGAACCACCAGAGGUUCUCACUAGAGAAAUUCAUUAAUUCCCUCUUCUUCCUACAAUCCCCACUGUCAUUCCCACAUGAAGAUUUUGCAGGCUAGCAACUUUUGUGGGCUUAUUUACAUAGCUGAUUUUUAUGAAAAACCAUUUAGACUGAGUCAGUUAUCCAGGCACAUUUGAAAAAGACUAAUCAAGAAAUUGUGUUACUUCCUUCUGGAAUACAGAGAUUAUCCAAAAGGAACUUAAGCAUCAUAUUAAUUUGUGUUGCAGGGUGAUACUAAUGAGUGAACACAAACAUUUUUAUUCUCUUUCUCCUCUUUUCUGCUUUACAAAUUUCCAUUUUCUGAAAAGCAUUUGUGAGCUACUUCCAAAGGAUAAAGGAUGGAAAUCUAGGAAUUUUGCCAAGCAGUGUCAGAUGUGAUGUGGGUGUGUUUGGGUGUUAGAUAUUUGAGAGACAACCUGCUGGUUUCUUUCUUUCUGUCCAGUACUACUUGGCAUGGAAUUCAAAGGAAGAUUCUCUUCAUUGUGAAUCUGCCCAGAGUCAAUGCCUAAGCUCCACCUUUGAUAUUUUGGUGAGCCACAUGUACACAGAUUUGCCUUUAAGACAGCUUUCCACUACACUUUGUUCUGCUGGAGAUGCUUUCAUUUAAGUUGACCAUUCUAUCCGGUGCUAUUUUUCUAGAAAAAGAGGUGCCAGAAUUCACAGUUAACACCUCCCUUGUUCUAUUAAGAAUGGCCAUGGCUCCCACCUGAGAGGUGCCAGAACUGAGUUCCUGUGAGUUCACCCUGGGGGGAAAAGGCCUGAUUCUAUCCUUCCUUUUCCCAUUGCAGAAAUUUGGACAGGCAGUAUACCUGAAGGAGCAUCUCCACCCCCAUCGUUCUGCCCGGACACUGAGGUCCAGCGCCGAGGGCCUUCUGGCGGUUCCCUCAUUGCGAGAAGCAAAGCUACAGGGAACCAGGCAGAGGGCCUUCUCGGUAGUGGCGCCCGCCCUGUGGAACGCCCUCCCAUCAGAUGUCAAAGCGAUAAACAACUACCUGACAUUCAGAAGACAUCUUAAGGCAGCCCUGUUCAGGGAAGUUUUUAAUGUGUGACAUUUUAGUGUAUUUUUGGUCUCUGUGGAAGCUGCCCAGAGUGGCUGGGGAAACCCGGCCAGAUGGGCGGGGUACAAAUAAUAAAUUAUUAUUAUUAUUAUUAUUAUUAUUAUUAUUAUUAUUAUUAUCUCUGAAUACUCAAUGCUGGGGACAAACAACAAGGGAGGGUUCUUGGCUUCAUGCUUUGCUUGUGGGAUUCCCACAUUUAUCACACAGAAAAAAGAAAAAUAGUCUAGGUGGACCCUGUGUCUGAUUCAAAAGGUGUGUGUACACACAUUUGUUUCCUUCUGUACCACAUUUUUUUUAAGAUGCUCAUUCUGCUCUGAAUUCCUCCUGCCCUCGAUUUCCAAGGUUCUUAGAUGAGAAGGGGUGAGCAAGAUCACUUCCCCAAAUGUCAUCUUCUCAUCAAGCUCUUUUUACACAGAGCUUCUUGUUAGAUGCCAGAAUUACCGCACACUGAUUAUACAGCCUGCAGAGCCUUCCCCUGGUUCACUUAUGAUGAAUGUAAGAAAUGUUCUUAUCCAGCUCCGCCACAUUGAAGGAUAGAUGGUGCGGCAGUCUUCUGUGAUGUCACAUGUUUUCUUACUGUCAGGGAUGAUGUGUUGAGAAGGUAGGGGAUUUGUCUCCCACUGAAUUAGUAAUGUGGCAGAUUAUAAAGGCGUUAUGUUUGAGUGUAUGCCUGGGCAGUGAGCCUAGCAAUCCAUUAGGCAUUCAGACCUUUGGCAGGAGCUCAUCUCACAGGAAAAAUGGCCUUCACCCAG